Molecule: ribosomal RNA, 492 nt
Filed under: uncultured bacterium
Lineage: Bacteria
Description: partial 16S ribosomal RNA
Rfam family: Bacterial small subunit ribosomal RNA
Source: RNAcentral
AGUGAACGCUGGCGGUAGGCCUAACACAUGCAAGUCGAACGGCAGCACAGUAAGAGCUUGCUCUUACGGGUGGCGAGUGGCGGACGGGUGAGGAAUACAUCGGAAUCUACUUUUUCGUGGGGGAUAACGUAGGGAAACUUACGCUAAUACCGCAUACGACCUACGGGUGAAAGCAGGGGAUCUUCGGACCUUGCGCGAUUGAAUGAGCCGAUGUCGGAUUAGCUAGUUGGCGGGGUAAAGGCCCACCAAGGCGACGAUCCGUAGCUGGUCUGGGAGGAUGAUCGCCCACACUGGAACUGAGACACGGUCCAGACUCCUACGGGAGGCAGCAGUGGGGAAUAUUGGACAAUGGGCGCAAGCCUGAUCCAGCCAUCCCGCGUGGGUGAAGAAGGCCUUCGGGUUGUAAAGCCCUUUUGCUGGGAAAGAAAAGCAGCAGGUUAAUACCCCGCUGUUCUGACGGUACCCAAAGAAUAAGCACCGGCUAACUUCGUG